UCUUUGCAGCCUUGUGAAGUUGCUCCUCGCAGGAAUUGUUGCUUGUGGGCACAACAAGGCUGCAGAAAGCAUUUCAAAGAAUGAAAAGGCGUGACUCCUGGAGGUUCAGGAGUUUCACGUGCGAUGUUCCUUGGACAGAUGAGACCUGCUUUCCACGGUGGUGAUGGCCUUGCUCCGUAGCCAUUGCUUUUCUUGAGGCAGGUAGAGUAAACCUGACGGCACAAUAUUGUUUGGAACAACAGAAGCUCUUUGUGUCAAGCACUGUCAGCUGUCACAAUA
This is a non-coding RNA of Eleginops maclovinus (Patagonian blennie), 279 nucleotides long. NCBI's taxonomy places the organism in Eukaryota, Metazoa, Chordata, Actinopteri, Perciformes, Eleginopidae. The record is from RefSeq and is a predicted model, not a curated record.